UGGGUUGUUUGGGGUUCAGGUGAUCCAGG
This 29-nucleotide non-coding RNA is filed under the name Macaca fascicularis (crab-eating macaque). RNAcentral also lists the same sequence under 1 other name. Lineage: Eukaryota; Metazoa; Chordata; Mammalia; Primates; Cercopithecidae. The record is from RNAcentral.